GGCACCUCGAUGUCGGCUCAUCGCAUCCUGGGGCUGUAGUCGGUCCCAAGGGUUGGGCUGUUCGCCCAUUAAAGCGGUACGCGAGCUGGGUUCAGAACGUCGUGAGACAGUUCGGUCCCUAUCCGUCGUGGGCGUAGGAAAUUUGAGAGGAGCUGUCCUUAGUACGAGAGGACCGGGAUGGACGCACCGCUGGUGUACCAGUGGUCCCGCCAGGGGCAUCGCUGGGUAGCUAUGUGCGGACGGGAUAAGCGCUGAAAGCAUCUAAGCGCGAAGCCCCCCUCAAGAUGAGAUUUCCCAUAGCGUUAAGCUAGUAAGAGCCCUUGAAGAUGACAAGGUUGAUA
RNAcentral lists this ribosomal RNA (341 nucleotides) under Pseudomonas aeruginosa. RNAcentral describes it as "partial 23S ribosomal RNA". It matches the Rfam family "Bacterial large subunit ribosomal RNA", at positions 2520 to 2858 of the family's 2925-position model. The record is from RNAcentral. Lineage: Bacteria; Pseudomonadati; Pseudomonadota; Gammaproteobacteria; Pseudomonadales; Pseudomonadaceae.